ACGCUCGACACCUACGGGAGGCAGCAGUGGGGAAUAUUGCACAAUGGGGGAAACCCUGAUGCAGCGACGCCGCGUGAGCGAAGAAGUAUCUCGGUAUGUAAAGCUCUAUCAGCAGGGAAGAAAAUGACGGUACCUGACUAAGAAGCCCCGGCUAACUACGUGCCACAGCCGCGGUAAUCUGAGCGGGCUGGCAAGGC
RNAcentral lists this ribosomal RNA (197 nucleotides) under uncultured bacterium. RNAcentral describes it as "partial 16S ribosomal RNA". It matches the Rfam family "Bacterial small subunit ribosomal RNA", at positions 328 to 539 of the family's 1533-position model. The record is from RNAcentral.